AUUGAACGCUGGCGGCAUGCCUUACACAUGCAAGUCGAACGGCAGCGCGGGAGCAAUCCUGGCGGCGAGUGGCGAACGGGUGAGUAAUAUAUCGGAACGUGCCCAGUAGUGGGGGAUAGCCCGGCGAAAGCCGGAUUAAUACCGCAUGAGACCUGAGGGCGAAAGCGGGGGAUCGCAAGACCUCGCGCUAUUGGAGCGGCCGAUAUCAGAUUAGCUAGUUGGUGGGGUAAAGGCCUACCAAGGCAACGAUCUGUAGUUGGUCUGAGAGGACGACCAGCCACACUGGGACUGAGACACGGCCCAGACUCCUACGGGAGGCAGCAGUGGGGAAUUUUGGACAAUGGGCGCAAGCCUGAUCCAGCAAUGCCGCGUGCAGGAAGAAGGCCUC
This 388-nucleotide ribosomal RNA is filed under the name uncultured bacterium. RNAcentral describes it as "bacterial SSU rRNA". It matches the Rfam family "Bacterial small subunit ribosomal RNA", at positions 29 to 418 of the family's 1533-position model. The record is from RNAcentral.